RNAcentral lists this ribosomal RNA (843 nucleotides) under Phyllastrephus icterinus. Its description in RNAcentral is "partial 12S ribosomal RNA". It matches the Rfam family "Bacterial small subunit ribosomal RNA", at positions 62 to 1415 of the family's 1533-position model. The record is from RNAcentral. Lineage: Eukaryota; Metazoa; Chordata; Aves; Passeriformes; Pycnonotidae.
GCAAGUAUCCGCGUUCCAGUGAGUACGCCCCGGGUUCCCUAACCAGGUCGACGGGAGCAGGCAUCAGGCACACCCCACUAUUCUAACCGUAGCCCAAGACGUCCAGCAAUUGCCACACCCCCACGGGUCCUCAGCAGUAGUUAAUAUUAAGCUAUGAGUGAAAACUUGACUUAGUUAUAGCAAUUUAGGGCCGGUAAAUCCUGUGCCAGCCACCGCGGUCAUACAGGAGGCCCAAAUCAACAUUACCGACGGCGUAAAGUGUGGUCACAUGUUAUCCAAGUAACUAAGAUUAAAAAGCAACUAAGUUGUCACAAGCCCAAGAUGCUCACAAGGCCACUAUUCAAAGAAAAUCUUAGACUAACGAUUAAUUGAAUCCACGAAAGCCAGGGCCCAAACUGGGAUUAGAUACCCCACUAUGCCUGGCCGUAAAUCUUGAUGCUCGAUCUUACCGGAGCAUCCGCCUGAGAACUACGAGCACCAACGCUUAAAACUCUAAGGACUUGGCGGUGUCCCAAACCCACCUAGAGGAGCCUGUUCUAUAAUCGAUGAUCCACGAUAUACCUGACCAUUCCUUGCCAGAACAGCCUAUAUACCGCCGUCUCCAGCCCACCCAACCUGAAGGACCAACAGUGGACGCAAUAGCCUCACCCGCUAAUAAGACAGGUCAAGGUAUAGCCUAUGGAAUGGAAGUAAUGGGCUACAUUUUCUAGACUAGAACAUCACGGCAAAGGGACGUGAAACCGUCCCUAGAAGGCGGAUUUAGCAGUAAAGUGGGACAAUCGAGCCCUCUUUAAGCCGGCCCUGGGGCAUGUACAUACCGCCCGUCGCCCUCCUCAAAAGCGC